GGACGAACGCUGGCGGCGUGCUUAACACAUGCAAGUCGAACGGAAAGGCCCUGCUUUUGUGGGGUGCUCGAGUGGCGAACGGGUGAGUAACACGUGAGUAACCUGCCCUUGACUUUGGGAUAACUUCAGGAAACUGGGGCUAAUACCGGAUAGGAGCUCCUGCUGCAUGGUGGGGGUUGGAAAGUUUCGGCGGUUGGGGAUGGACUCGCGGCUUAUCAGCUUGUUGGUGGGGUAGUGGCUUACCAAGGCUUUGACGGGUAGCCGGCCUGAGAGGGUGACCGGCCACAUUGGGACUGAGAUACGGCCCAGACUCCUACGGGAGGCAGCAGUGGGGAAUAUUGCACAAUGGGCGGAAGCCUGAUGCAGCAACGCCGCGUGCGGGAUGACGGCCUUCGGGUUGUAAACCGCUUUCGCCUGUGACGAAGCGUGAGUGACGGUAAUGGGUAAAGAAGCACCGGCUAACUACGUGCCAGCAGCCGCGGUGAUACGUAGGGUGCGAGCGUUGUCCGGAUUUAUUGGGCGUAAAGGGCUCGUAGGUGGUUGAUCGCGUCGGAAGUGUAAUCUUGGGGCUUAACCCUGAGCGUGCUUUCGAUACGGGUUGACUUGAGGAAGGUAGGGGAGAAUGGAAUUCCUGGUGGAGCGGUGGAAUGCGCAGAUAUCAGGAGGAACACCAGUGGCGAAGGCGGUUCUCUGGGCCUUUCCUGACGCUGAGGAGGGAAAGCGUGGGGAGCGAACAGGCUUAGAUACCCUGGUAGUCCACGCUGUAAACGGUGGGUACUAGGUGUGGGGUCCAUUCCACGGGUUCCGUGCCGUAGCUAACGCUUUAAGUACCCCGCCUGGGGAGUACGGCCGCAAGGCUAAAACUCAAAGGAAUUGACGGGGCCCCGCACAAGCGGCGGAGCAUGCGGAUUAAUUCGAUGCAACGCGUAGAACCUUACCUGGGUUUGACAUGGAUCGGGAGUGCUCAGAGAUGGGUGUGCCUCUUUUGGGGUCGGUUCACAGGUGGUGCAUGGCUGUCGUCAGCUCGUGUCGUGAGAUGUUGGGUUAAGUCCCGCAACGAGCGCAACCCUUGUUCACUGUUGCCAGCACGUUAUGGUGGGGACUCAGUGGAGACCGCCGGGGUCAACUCGGAGGAAGGUGGGGAUGACGUCAAGUCAUCAUGCCCCUUAUGUCCAGGGCUUCACGCAUGCUACAAUGGCUGGUACAGAGGGUGGCGAGCCUGUGAGGGUGAGCGAAUCUCGGAAAGCCGGUCUCAGUUCGGAUUGGGGUCUGCAACUCGACCUCAUGAAGUCGGAGUCGCUAGUAAUCGCAGAUCAGCAACGCUGCGGUGAAUACGUUCCCGGGGCUUGUACACACCGCCCGUCAAGUCAUGAAAGUUGGUAACACCCGAAGCCGGUGGCCUAACCGUUGUGGGGGAGCCGUCGAAGGUGGGACUGGUGA
RNAcentral lists this ribosomal RNA (1440 nucleotides) under uncultured organism. RNAcentral describes it as "16S ribosomal RNA". It matches the Rfam family "Bacterial small subunit ribosomal RNA". The record is from RNAcentral.